This 208-nucleotide long non-coding RNA is filed under the name Olea europaea (common olive). Its description in RNAcentral is "long non-coding RNA (OEUR_LNC003969)". The record is from RNAcentral. Lineage: Eukaryota; Viridiplantae; Streptophyta; Magnoliopsida; Lamiales; Oleaceae.
ACAAGAAGCCCAUUAUCAGGCAGUUCCGCAAAGACAAGAAGAAUUAUUUCAACAGCAACAAGAGCAAAUGCGGUGUUAUGUGGAUUCCAGUUUAUGUUCCGUGAGAUUAUACAUUGAUGAACAUACUGAGAAUAUGCAGAACAGAUUAUCUAACUGGGAAUCGAACAUGGAAGCCAUUAUAGGUUCAAUGCAGCAAGAUGUCUCUCCC